CCCAGACUCCUACGGGAGGCAGCAGUGGGGAAUAUUGCACAAUGGGGGGAACCCUGAUGCAGCGACGCCGCGUGGGUGAAGGAGUACUUCGGUACGUAAAGCCCUAUCAGCAGGAAAGAAAAUGACGGUACCUGACUAAGAAGCCCCGGCUAACUACGUGCCAGCAGCCGCGGUAAUACGUAGGGGGCAAGCGUUAUCCGGAUUUACUGGGUGUAAAGGGAGCGUAGACGGCAGUGCAAGUCCGGAGUGAAAGCCCGGGGCUCAACCCUGGGACUGCUCUGGAAACUGUAAAGCUGGAGUGCGGGAGGGGCAGGCGGAAUUCCUGGUGUAGCGGUGAAAUGCGUAGAUAUCAGGAGGAACACCGGCGGCGAAGGCGGCCUGCUGGACCGUGACUGACGUUGAGGCUCGAGAGCGUGGGGAGCAAACAGGAUUAGAUACCCUUGUAU
Molecule: ribosomal RNA, 446 nt
Filed under: uncultured bacterium
Lineage: Bacteria
Description: partial 16S ribosomal RNA
Rfam family: Bacterial small subunit ribosomal RNA
Source: RNAcentral